CUUGGUGCCAGUUCCCGGCGGGACACACCCGUUCCCAUCCCGAACACGGCCGUUAAGCCGCACGGGGCCGAUGGUAGUGCGAUUGCGCGAGAGUAGGUAGGCGCCAGGA
RNAcentral lists this ribosomal RNA (109 nucleotides) under Candidatus Uhrbacteria bacterium RIFOXYB12_FULL_58_10. The record is from RNAcentral. RNAcentral also lists the same sequence under 2 other names. Lineage: Bacteria; Candidatus Uhriibacteriota.